Molecule: small RNA, 40 nt
Filed under: Arabidopsis thaliana (thale cress)
Lineage: Eukaryota; Viridiplantae; Streptophyta; Magnoliopsida; Brassicales; Brassicaceae
Description: ATSL022330
Source: RNAcentral
CCUUAUUCAGGAUUGUGGAGCUGGAAAAAGGAAGGAUUUU